AUUACAAUCAGCUGCAAAUUCUGGAAGCUCGACAAUUUAUUAGUAUAAACAUUAGCUCUUUAUAAUAAUGCAGUUGCAUCAAAUUGCAAAAGAGAAUAAAGCGAGUUAUCCACGCAGAAAGGCGUCGGAUGAGAGGCAGGAAAUGUUGAAUUUAGUUGAAAUAGUCACAAUCGUGCAUAUUUUAAAUAAUAAAAAAAUAAAUUACCGAGCAGACUUUAUUUCUAAUAACAUAUACAUUCACAUCAAUACAUGUAUGCAUUAAUGCAUUAGUAUAAUUGGUUUUGGUGAAUGCAUUUUACAAUGGGGAAAUUCAAAUUUUUGCGGAAAAUCAAUUGCGAUUAUUGCAAAGUGCAGAAAACGCCCUUAAUAUUUAACCAUUUAAUGUAUAAGCUUUUACUAAAAAUAAACAUGUUUUAAAAGUACUAUGAUAAUAUAUUAAUGCAAGAUUACUCUCAAUUACUUUUUUAAUUCAUUGUAAAAGUUGUCAUACAACUUUAAGAAACACUCAUUUAAUUUAUUAAUAUGGCUUCUAAUCACAGUUUUUGAAUACACAUCCUACUUGAUUUAAUACAACCAAAAUCGCGUACAGAGAAACACAACUUGCUGUUGGAGAGUGCAAGAACUAAAUGAUUAAAGGCGACCGCUUACUGCUUUCAGGAUAAAAAUGCAUAUACCGAACAUGAAAGCAUCAUCAACGAGGAAACUCAGAGUAGGAGGUGGGAAAACAAGAAGGCAACAGGACACAUGAAAAGGAGUUCAUGGAGUAUGCACAUAGCACAAAAAAUAUAUAGAAGCAGACAGUGGGCAAAGUUGAUAUACUAGUCUGUACAGUUUAAACAAAAUGUACAAUCAAAGAUUUUUAUUUUGAAUAAAAUAAUUUGAUAAACAAAGUA
Molecule: long non-coding RNA, 893 nt
Organism: Bactrocera oleae (olive fruit fly)
Lineage: Eukaryota; Metazoa; Arthropoda; Insecta; Diptera; Tephritidae
Source: RefSeq, a predicted model, not a curated record